UCAAAUCUUGCAGUCUCUAUUGGUGUUAUCUCUUAAGAUGAAUAUGAAAAAAGAUUUUAAACUCAUUUUAGUUCCUGAUUUUCAGGCUUAGUUUCUUUUACUUCCUUUCUCCACUUGCUCUCUAAGACUCUCUGCUAAGUAUUAUUACUUUUUGAAGUUCUUUUUUACUAUGUCCCUGCUUAUUUGAUCAAGUUCACCAUAUUUGUAUUCUCUGAUCUCUGAAAUUGAUAUGCAAUUCAGUCUUUGUAGUUAUCCCCCACUGACCCUUAAAAUAGAAAGGGCAGGAAGUUCUUUAGCUUAGGGCUUGUAGAUUUUGAUCCAUAUGGUCAUUGAAUCCUUUUCAAGCAUAAACUAUCACUGGUUCAUCAUCUACGGUUUUGACGGUGGAUGGAGAAAGGAGGAGAGUAAGAGAACUUGGUAGUGUGCGGCUUAGUCUCUUGAGCUGCACUAGUCACACAUAUAUUAUAGAGAUACAAAUGGAAAGUACCCCUGUAUGUAACAAAUCUACAUGUAUCUAUAUUAUAUCAUUAUUAAAUAAUGUAUCCCAUUUGUGGUCAUAAUUUUUACUCCAGUGUAGUUCCAACCCAC
This 588-nucleotide long non-coding RNA is filed under the name Amborella trichopoda. RNAcentral's name for it is "long non-coding RNA (ATRI_LNC000313)". Lineage: Eukaryota; Viridiplantae; Streptophyta; Magnoliopsida; Amborellales; Amborellaceae. The record is from RNAcentral.